ACAAAAAGAUGUAGAUUAAGAUGAGAACAAUUUAUAUAAAUUGUGAGAUCAACGGUGUGUGAUAACGGAGAUCCGUGGUUGUCGGUUGACUGUUCAAGUGGCCUCGGUUUGCUUGGUUAACUAUCAAAUCAACAUCAUCAUUUUCUCAAUUGUUGUUUUGUCAUCGUUGUCAAGGAGGAGGGAAACAGAUGAAUGUUAAUGAUAAUUGAAAUUAAGAUGAUGAUAUAAAGUUCUCUCUCAGGCCUGGAAAACUUGAUUUCUUUUCUUUCUCUUGGUGAAAAGGAGCAACGGCAGAGAAAAAAGUGAUCUUCCUUUUUCUUUCCUGGAAACACCUUCGUUCUUAGUACCUGAUGAGCAGAUCACCUUUCAAGUUACUUUCAUUUCUUGUUAAUCAUCAAUUAUCUCAACGAUUAUAAACAAACAAACAAACAAACGCUUCACAAUGAUUGACCUGUACCUCGCAUUUAACACACAACAACAGUUACACUUGACCUUAGAAUUGGGUUUGUUUUUUAUUUCUCCCUUGAUCAUUGGUACUGAUUCACUUUGGUACCAUUUUCAUUUGAUUCUACCUGAUGAUUAUCCUAUUGAGCAAAGAGCUGAAAGAAGAUAAAAUUGAAAAGAUAAAGAGUGUUUGGUCUUCCAUUGAGAUGACUUAAGUGUGUCCAACGAAUGGCCUGACCUGAUAGAGAAUCAAAGAGGAAAAAACAACAAGAUGUUUACCUGGUGUUUAAGCGGAAGAAGUUGAAGAUCUUCUUUCCAUCUUAUUUACUUUAUCAUCUUCUACCUUGUUGAAGGUGUUUCUCUUCAUUGAUCAUCGCCAUCAUCAUCAUCAUCUUUUUUACUUCCUAUUGAGAUGUUCACUCUACUGGUGUCAAUGUACUGGGUAAAAGUAAACUAACCUGUCUUAAUAUUAAUCUUUUUUUGCCAAAACAAGAUUGACCUUCGUUAAGCCUGUGUAGCUUUAAUUACUUGAUGUAAUUGUCGCUAUUGAUCAGAAAUCAUCAGCUAAUCAGGAAAAUUCAUUGAUCAUAACAUCGGAUCACCAUUCAGACAUAAACAACUUACAUCAAGCCUUAAAAAUAGUCUACCAAGUAGACCAAUUUAUUAAUUACUUUCUUUUUUUCCUUAAAACCAGAACAAAAUUAGAAAGUAAAUUAUUUAUUUUGUUUUAUUGUCUUUCCAUGUUAAUUGUUCAUCAAACUAAUCUGGUUAUUCAAGUUCCUGUCCUGGUUUUUUUUUCUAAUCAUCAGUUUUAUCCCCAUUGGAUCAGAAUUCAUUUCACUAAUCAUGAACCUGUUGGAUGAAUUUUAAUUGUUUUCAUGGUUGAAAGAAGUCACCACCAUCAUAAGAAUCAAAUAACAGUCUGAUUGUUGACGAAUAAAAAUGUUAACAGUUAACAAUUUGAUUCCAAAAAUAACUGGACCUUUGUUCAUGAAACCGAAAAUUGAAUAAACUUUCACAAUGAACAUUUAUCAAUUAAUUGUGAUAUUGUAAAUUUGUUGUAUAAAAAAAAAGGAGAACCAAUUGAAAUGCUUUAUUUAAAUUGAAUUUGUUUUCUUUAUAUAUACCAAUUGACUAACUCUAAACUAU
Long non-coding RNA from Panonychus citri (citrus red mite), 1593 nucleotides. RefSeq lists it as uncharacterized. Lineage: Eukaryota; Metazoa; Arthropoda; Arachnida; Trombidiformes; Tetranychidae. The transcript has 3 exons. The record is from RefSeq and is a predicted model, not a curated record.